GCGGUCAUUAUAAAAAGCGCUCAAAAGCGUCUCGUUGAUUAAAUCGCCCGACAACCUCGAAAGGAGAAGACAGCAAGUUCGUUGAAGAAAUUAAGGCAAACUCUAUAGCGACUGGUUAAAAUGGGAUUCAAAUAUGCAGUAUCGCUUUUGUUCCUGUUCUUUGUAAUGAUAAAUGUUCAUGGAAUUAAACAAGGCCGCUUUGGCGGUCUGUACAAAGACCAAGAAAAACAAGUUGAUGCUGAAAAAGAACAAAGUCGUUUUUCGUGUGGCCAUGGACCACUUUUAACUGGUUUUUGCCAUGCCGGUCCAUGUCCAUCCCAUUUAUUUAAUUGCGGAUGGAAGGACUGCAUAGAAUCGGGCCAACCGUUUUCAAACUGCUGCUGCUCUUUCGAGUGAAUCAUGCAUAAAUAGCCAAAGCGUGCAUAGAGUCGUGAAGAAAAACAGACUAUAGUAGUGUAGGAUGAUUAGUUAAAACAUAAGUUGCAUGACAAAAAGGGCAGGUAUUGUAAACUAGAUGAAAAGUAUAAGCACAGUUAAUUGCUGAAUGUAAGC
Long non-coding RNA from Dendronephthya gigantea, 552 nucleotides. RefSeq lists it as uncharacterized. The record is from RefSeq and is a predicted model, not a curated record. The transcript is spliced from 4 exons. Lineage: Eukaryota; Metazoa; Cnidaria; Anthozoa; Malacalcyonacea; Nephtheidae.